AUUGAACGCUGGCGGCAGGCCUAACACAUGCAAGUCGAGCGGAGCGGCGGACGGGUGAGUAAUGCCUAGGAAUCUGCCUGGUAGUGGGGGAUAACGUCUGGAAACGGGCGCUAAUACCGCAUACUAUCAGAUGAGCCUAGGUCGGAUUAGCUAGUUGGUGGGGGAAAGGCCUACCAAGGCGACGAUCCGUAACUGGUCUGAGAGGAUGAUCAGUCACACUGGAACUGAGACACGAUCCAGAUUCGUACGAGAGGCAGCAGUGGGGAAUAUUGGACACUGGACGAAAGCCUGAUCCAGCCAUGCCGCGUGUGUGAAGAAGGUCUUCGGAUUGUAAAGCGCUUUAAGUUGGGAGGCGUUACCAGCAGAAUAAGCACCGGCUAACUACGUGCCAGCAGCCGCGGUAAUAC
RNAcentral lists this ribosomal RNA (407 nucleotides) under uncultured bacterium. RNAcentral's name for it is "partial 16S ribosomal RNA". It matches the Rfam family "Bacterial small subunit ribosomal RNA", at positions 30 to 526 of the family's 1533-position model. The record is from RNAcentral.